Molecule: microRNA precursor, 104 nt
Filed under: Myotis lucifugus (little brown bat)
Lineage: Eukaryota; Metazoa; Chordata; Mammalia; Chiroptera; Vespertilionidae
Description: miRNA (ENSMLUG00000024416.1)
Source: RNAcentral
GGUCCCUGGAUGGUCUUGGGAAUCCCGGACGAGCCCCCAAAUGUUAUGCCCAGAUUUCAGGAUCCCCAAGAAACCAACAGGGAGCCAGCAGUCCGAUGCAAAAG